CGUAGGGGCGAAGCGUUGUCCGGAAUUAUUGGGCGUAAAGCGCGCGCAGGCGGCCUUGUAAGUCUGUCGUUUAAACUCGGAGCUCAACUUCGAGUCGCGAUGGAAACUGCAAAGCUUGAGUGCAGAAGAGGAAAGUGGAAUUCCACGUGUAGCGGUGAAAUGCGUAGAGAUGUGGAGGAACACCAGUGGCGAAGGCGACUUUCUGGGCUGUAACUGACGCUGAGGCGCGAAAGCGUGGGAGCAAACAGGAUU
This 252-nucleotide ribosomal RNA is filed under the name uncultured bacterium. Its description in RNAcentral is "partial 16S ribosomal RNA". It matches the Rfam family "Bacterial small subunit ribosomal RNA", at positions 526 to 779 of the family's 1533-position model. The record is from RNAcentral.